RNAcentral lists this ribosomal RNA (406 nucleotides) under uncultured bacterium. Its description in RNAcentral is "partial 16S ribosomal RNA". It matches the Rfam family "Bacterial small subunit ribosomal RNA", at positions 30 to 526 of the family's 1533-position model. The record is from RNAcentral.
AUUGAACGCUGGCGGCAGGCCUAACACAUGCAAGUCGAACGAGUGGCGGACGGGUGAGUAAUGUUUGGGAAACUGCCUGAUGGAGGGGGAUAACUACUGGAAACAGUAGCUAAUACCGCAUACCAUCGGAUGUGCCCAGAUGGGAUUAGCUAGUAGGUGGGGUAACGGCUCACCUAGGCGACGAUCCCUAGCUGGUCUGAGAGGAUGACAGGCCAACCUGGAACUGAGACACGGCCCAGACUCCUACGGGAGGCAGCAGUGGGGAAGAUGGCGCAAUGGGCGCAAGCCUGAUGCAGCCAUGCCGCGUGUAUGAAGAAGGCCUUCGGGUUGUAAAGUUCUUUCAGCGGGGAGGCGUUACCCGCAGAAGAAGCACCGGCUAACUCCGUGCCAGCCGCCGCGGUAAUAC